CCUACGGGGGGCAGCAGUGGGGAAUACUGGACAAUGGGGGGAACCCUGAUCCAGCCAUGCCGCGUGUGUGAAGAAGGCCCUCGGGUUGUAAAGCACUUUCAGUGAGGAAGAACGCCUGGUGGUUAAUACCCAUCAGGAAAGACAUCACUCACAGAAGAAGCACCGGCUAACUCCGUGCCAGCAGCCGCGGUAAUACGGAGGGUGCGAGCGUUAAUCGGAAUUACUGGGCGUAAAGCGCGCGUAGGUGGCUUGAUAAGCCGGUUGUGAAAGCCCCGGGCUCAACCUGGGAACGGCAUCCGGAACUGUCAAGCUAGAGUGCAGGAGAGGAAGGUAGAAUUCCCGGUGUAGCGGUGAAAUGCGUAGAGAUCGGGAGGAAUACCAGUGGCGAAGGCGGCCUUCUGGACUGACACUGACACUGAGGUGCGAAAGCGUGGGUAGCAAACAGGAUUAGAUACCCGUGUAGUC
RNAcentral lists this ribosomal RNA (465 nucleotides) under Vreelandella stevensii. Its description in RNAcentral is "partial 16S ribosomal RNA". It matches the Rfam family "Bacterial small subunit ribosomal RNA", at positions 338 to 795 of the family's 1533-position model. The record is from RNAcentral. Lineage: Bacteria; Pseudomonadati; Pseudomonadota; Gammaproteobacteria; Oceanospirillales; Halomonadaceae.